Molecule: ribosomal RNA, 532 nt
Filed under: uncultured bacterium
Lineage: Bacteria
Description: bacterial SSU rRNA
Rfam family: Bacterial small subunit ribosomal RNA
Source: RNAcentral
GGAGCGACGCUUGUUGCCGCGACACCGCGUGCGGCUGACGGAUCUACGUUGGUUGCCACUUUCUUGAGGGAAGAAAAUGACGGUACCUCCUCAACAAGCCCCGGCCAACUACUUGCCGCCAGCCGCGGUAAUACUUAGGGGGCGAGCGUUGUCCGGAUUUAUUGGGCGUAAAAAGCUCCUAGGCGGUUCAACAACUCGGUCGUAAAAGUUCAUGGCUCAUCCCUGAAAUGUCGAUCGAUACUGUUGUGACUAGGAUACGGUAGAGGAGAGUGGAAUUCCUAGUGUAGCGGUGAAAUGCGUAGAUAUUCUUAGGAACACCAAUUGCUAAGGCAGCUCAUUGGGCCGCUAUCAUCGCUGAUGAGCAAAAGCUACGGGAGCAAACAGGAUUAUAUACCCUGGUAGUCCUACCUGUAAACAAUGGAUACUACACGUAGGAACUGGAUUGACGGUUUCUGUGUCGUAGCUACCACGUUAAUUAUCCCCCCUGGGGAGUACGGUCGCCACACUAAUACUCCUAGGAAUUGUUGGCGGA